This 65-nucleotide transfer RNA is filed under the name Sabethes chloropterus. RNAcentral describes it as "tRNA-Pro". Lineage: Eukaryota; Metazoa; Arthropoda; Insecta; Diptera; Culicidae. The record is from RNAcentral.
CAAGAAAUAGUUUAUAAAAAUAUUAAUUUUGGGAAUUAAAGAUAAAGAAUUUUCUUUUUUCUUGA